Molecule: ribosomal RNA, 406 nt
Filed under: uncultured bacterium
Lineage: Bacteria
Description: partial 16S ribosomal RNA
Rfam family: Bacterial small subunit ribosomal RNA
Source: RNAcentral
AUUGAACGCUGGCGGCAGGCCUAACACAUGCAAGUCGCACGAGUGGCGGACGGGUGAGUAAUGUCUGGGAAACUGCCUGAUGGAGGGGGAUAACUACUGGAAACGGUAGCUAAUACCGCAUACCAUCAGAUGUGCCCCGAUGGGCUUAGCUUGUUGGUGGGGUAACGGCUCACCCAGGCGACGAUCCCUAGCUGGUCUGAGAGGAUGACCAGCCACACUGGAACUGUGACACGGUCCAGACUCCUACGGGAGGCAGCGUGGGGUAAGAGUGCACAAUGGGCGCAAUCCUGAUGCAGCCAUGCCGCGUGGUUGAAGAAGGCCUUCGGGUUGUAAAGUACUUUCAGCGGGGAGGCGUUACCCGCAGAAGAAGCACCGGCUAACUCCGUGCCAGCAGCCGCGGUAAUUC